This 737-nucleotide long non-coding RNA is filed under the name Amborella trichopoda. RNAcentral describes it as "long non-coding RNA (ATRI_LNC002527)". The record is from RNAcentral. Lineage: Eukaryota; Viridiplantae; Streptophyta; Magnoliopsida; Amborellales; Amborellaceae.
GAGUCGUAAGGGACACUCUCGGUCCUCCUCCGCCUUACAUAAGCAAGUCCUAAUAAAAAGCAGUGCUGUAGCCCGGUAGCGAGGGUGGAGGAAAGGGCGCCUCGGCUUCAAAGGUGAUCAUUGAAUGAUGAGGAAAAGGGAAGCUCAGAUGAAUGGGAACUGCUGUCUGGUUCCAAAUAUGGGCACCCGCUCUAUUCUUGUUUUUUUCUUUUGCUCGCUCACGAGGAAGCAUUCUCACGUCUUUUCACUCCUGGCACUUUCUAUGACGAGGAAGAAGAUAUAGCAGAGAGAAAGAUGGAGGAUCUGGAUGAUUCGAUGUCAGAACAAGGAGGAAGGCCCUCAAUGCUCUUCUGAUCAGCUGGUAAAAGGUUCGCUGAUAUCAACAAUCCUGAAGCAAGAUGCUAAGGGGACCCGCUAAAAGCGAAAACAAAUUUCAUCAAGCUAGGCCAAAGAUUAACUGGACGGAUGUCCACAUUCCAAGACCGCCUCCACUGCCUUUGCACCAUUCAUUCACAAAGAUCGCUCAACAACACACUGCUAGAUUUGAAAGGACCGAACUGCCAUCUGAGACCCUCAUCACCACACCAAGUUCCUUAAAAGAGUUCCAACCCUACCCCAAGCUCUCUCAACAUACAUGACCACGCCUCCUCUGACAUCCAUUUUUCCAAGUCAAUACGGCGACUCCACGAGAGAUGAGUGACUAUACUAUUAGAUUAGAGAAAGAACUGAACUCAAAC